GACGAACUUUGGCGGCGUGCUUAACACAUGCAAGUCGAACGGAAAGGCCCUGCUUUUGUGGGGUGCUCGAGUGGCGAACGGGUGAGUAACACGUGAGUAACCUGCCCUUGACUUUGGGAUAACUUCAGGAAACUGGGGCUAAUACCGGAUAGGAGCUCCUGCUGCAUGGUGGGGGUCGGAAAGUUUCGGCGGUUGGGGAUGGACUCGCGGCUUAUCAGCUUGUUGGUGGGGUAGUGGCUUACCAAGGCUUUGACGGGUAGCCGGCCUGAGAGGGUGACCGGCCACAUUGGGACUGAGAUACGGCCCAGACUCCUGCGGGAGGCAGCAGUGGGGAAUAUUGCACAAUGGGCGGAAGCCUGAUGCAGCAACGCCGCGUGCGGGAUGACGGCCUUCGGGUUGUAAACCGCUUUCGCCUGUGACGAAGCGUGAGUGACGGUAAUGGGUAAAGAAGCACCGGCUAACUACGUGCCAGCAGCCGCGGUGAUACGUAGGGUGCGAGCGUUGUCCGGAUUUAUUGGGCGUAAAGGGCUCGUAGGUGGUUGAUCGCGUCGGAAGUGUAAUCUUGGGGCUUAACCCUGAGCGUGCUUUCGAUACGGGUUGACUUGAGGAAGGUAGGGGAGAAUGGAAUUCCUGGUGGAGCGGUGGAAUGCGCAGAUAUCAGGAGGAACACCAGUGGCGAAGGCGGUUCUCUGGGCCUUUCCUGACGCUGAGGAGCGAAAGCGUGGGGAGCGAACAGGCUUAGAUACCCUGGUAGUCCACGCUGUAAACGGUGGGUACUAGGUGUGGGGUCCAUUCCACGGGUUCCGUGCCGUAGCUAACGCUUUAAGUACCCCGCCUGGGGAGUACGGCCGCAAGGCUAAAACUCAAAGGAAUUGACGGGGCCCCGCACAAGCGGCGGAGCAUGCGGAUUAAUUCGAUGCAACGCGUAGAACCUUACCUGGGUUUGACAUGGAUCGGGAGUGCUCAGAGAUGGGUGUGCCUCUUUUGGGGUCGGUUCACAGGUGGUGCAUGGCUGUCGUCAGCUCGUGUCGUGAGAUGUUGGGUUAAGUCCCGCAACGAGCGCAACCCUUGUUCACUGUUGCCAGCACGUUAUGGUGGGGACUCAGUGGAGACCGCCGGGGUCAACUCGGAGGAAGGUGGGGAUGACGUCAAGUCAUCAUGCCCCUUAUGUCCAGGGCUUCACGCAUGCUACAAUGGCUGGUACAGAGAGUGGCGAGCCUGUGAGGGUGAGCGAAUCUCGGAAAGCCGGUCUCAGUUCGGAUUGGGGUCUGCAACUCGACCUCAUGAAGUCGGAGUCGCUAGUAAUCGCAGAUCAGCAACGCUGCGGUGAAUACGUUCCCGGGGCU
Molecule: ribosomal RNA, 1346 nt
Filed under: uncultured bacterium
Lineage: Bacteria
Description: partial 16S ribosomal RNA
Rfam family: Bacterial small subunit ribosomal RNA
Source: RNAcentral